This is a long non-coding RNA of Daphnia pulicaria, 328 nucleotides long. RefSeq lists it as uncharacterized. The transcript has 2 exons. NCBI's taxonomy places the organism in Eukaryota, Metazoa, Arthropoda, Branchiopoda, Diplostraca, Daphniidae. The record is from RefSeq and is a predicted model, not a curated record.
UGAUUGGCAAAGUGGAAACGUCCAUGUGCCUCGUAUUGCACUCUGCCGUUAUUACCAAACGUGAGGAAAAUGUGGACUAUUUUAGAGUGGCUCACGAGGUCCUUCAGACCUUCAUGCAUCGUUACUACCAUUGCUCAGCCAGGGAAGUUCGAGAAUGUCUGGUGAUGAACUACACUCGUCAAAUUUUCCGCAUCAUUCAACGUUACAUUAAUGCCUAAAACGACUAGUAUUGUGUGUCUCAAUCAACAGGGAAUUUCAAAAAUGUGAUUUAUGACCCCUCUUCAUCGUUUCUCAAGAUUGAAUUCGUAAUAAAAAGACAUUCAGUAGA